UGUAGCCAGAUGGGAUACUCGCCUUUCUUUUCUCUCUCGCUCUCGCUCACUCUACUGCUCUCGCUCUUGCUGCGCAACUACGUUAAUUAGGAACCCACCUGUAUAUUGAUUACAGGGUGGUAUUUACCUGUAUAAAGGGAAGCCGGUUUUUCUUGUUGGAUCAUUCCUCCCGAGCUUCUGGUGCGACACAGCAGUAAAUGCUGGCCUAUCGGUUAAUUUACCGAUACGAUCGGCUCGUGUGACUGCUACAGCGCGGCUGUUUCUCUUUUUUUUACUCCAGCCGUGGUGGAGAGACGUGUGAGUUGCGUCCACCAUGCAGUACAGUGCCUCCAGUCUUGGGGGUUUGAUUGCUGCCGCACCCUCUCAGGGAUCAACUGCCUGAUUUUAAGCGAAGAGUCGAGAUGCCUGCCUAGCUGCUGUCUUGUCUUGCCUUGUUUUAUCUUGUGUUCCGAUCUGUUGGCUGUCCAGUUUUGUUCCUGCUGUUUGCCCCGCCUCGCCCCUGGGGGCUUUGGGUCUCACGCUAAGCCCCUUUUGGACUAUCAUUUCACUCCAGCUUUCGCGACUGGUCGGGGCGAUCCUCAGCUGCAUAUUGGGCUGGUGUUACAAAACUGGUACUGCCUCUCCCUUUUCUCCCAGUUGUGGAGAGCUGCGCGGGACUGAGUGGGGCUACGGACAAUCGGAACCAGCACCAGCUGUGGGCUGGCUCGCAGAGUACAAGUACUUCCAAUCUGUGCUCUGUGGUGUGUAUGUGGGUGUGUUUUAUUGCAGAUCUCCGUUUUUCUUUUAAUUUCUUUUUUUAGUAUAUAGAGAGCCUGUUUAUGUCCCAU
Oreochromis niloticus (Nile tilapia) is the source of this 827-nucleotide long non-coding RNA. RefSeq lists it as uncharacterized. The record is from RefSeq and is a predicted model, not a curated record. Lineage: Eukaryota; Metazoa; Chordata; Actinopteri; Cichliformes; Cichlidae. The transcript has 3 exons.